This is a long non-coding RNA of Mangifera indica (mango), 265 nucleotides long. RefSeq lists it as uncharacterized. NCBI's taxonomy places the organism in Eukaryota, Viridiplantae, Streptophyta, Magnoliopsida, Sapindales, Anacardiaceae. The transcript is spliced from 3 exons. The record is from RefSeq and is a predicted model, not a curated record.
AAAAUUCAUUCUUUCGGCUGGGUCCAACACCAAGCAUAAACAUCACAGACCCCAAAUUGAUAAGGGAAAUUAUGUUAAGGUAUGAAAUAUUUCAAAAACCCAACAGAAGCCCACUUAGCCGGUUGGUGUUCAAUGGGAUGGUGAUGUAUGAGGGUGAACAAUGGUUCAAAGUCAGAAAGAUAGCCAACCCAGCUUUCCAUCUAGACAAGUUGAAGGAUAUGUUACCUAAAAUGUGUUUGAGUUGCAAUGAGAUGAUAAGGAAAUC